GCGGACCAGUAGUGUAGUUAGUCUGCCGUUAGCUUAAACUAACAAGCCGAACCUGCCAUAAAAUCACAUUUUACUCAUGUUCAUGAGUGUUGCCCAACAUGAAGAAAAGAAGAGGAGACACAGAAGUCUGAGUGAUGGCAAGUGAUGGUGACACAAAGUGCUGCCUGGAAGACUCUUCACAACUCUGCCUGCAAGAUCUCGGCCAAUGGGAAGCAAAGAGGAAAGGGAUGUUCAACUGCAGGCCUGAUGGCCAGUGUCCUGCAACCUCUGGACACGUCUCUGCUUCAACACACCUGAGUUUCCUAACGAGGUCUUUAGCAGGAGUCUGGAUAACUUGACUGCAUACUGAAGAGGCAAUCCAGCCAUUUCAUUCAGGUCUGCUGGACCAGGGAUAAAUCUAAAAGCUGCAGGAAACCAGAGGUGAACAUCCCUGAUCUAGGAGAAAGAAAGAAAGACUUAUUGAAACUUUGUUUUGAUGGAAUCUAACAGUAUUUCAUUUAAAAUCUCCUUGAUUCCAAUCCUUGGACAUUCAGACCAGCGUGAAGAAGUAAAAUAUAGAUUCUAAAAUUUAUUCAGUUAUAUUCAUUUUGGAGGAAUUGGUAAGGGUGCCUGUAAGGUGAUAGUGAGUAUUUCUUGGUAUGAUUUUUCUUUUAAACUUAUUAAAUUUAUGCAAUAUAAAAGUUAAUUUUGCUUAACUUUUGGACAAUAUUCUAGUAAAAUAAAAAAAAUUAUAAUUUAUUAUUCCUGCACACAUCUGUUUAUAAGAGUGAAAUGUUCACACAUUGAAUUGAAUUAUUUAAUAAUUAUGGUAAUCAAUUUGAUCAGUCUGAAAAACUAAACGGAAAGAAUUUUUUUUUUUUUCAUAACAGGGCCACUAACCUGCUUCGGUGCAAAAGUUUAAAAAGUAAAAAGUGUACAUUUGUUUUUAAAAGC
Long non-coding RNA from Poecilia reticulata (guppy), 933 nucleotides. RefSeq lists it as uncharacterized. Lineage: Eukaryota; Metazoa; Chordata; Actinopteri; Cyprinodontiformes; Poeciliidae. The record is from RefSeq and is a predicted model, not a curated record.